RNAcentral lists this long non-coding RNA (1662 nucleotides) under Aplysia californica (California sea hare). Its description in RNAcentral is "uncharacterized LOC106014099". Lineage: Eukaryota; Metazoa; Mollusca; Gastropoda; Aplysiida; Aplysiidae. The record is from RNAcentral.
AUGAGUAAGAAACGCGAGUGAUUCUUGAAUUAAAAAGUGGAGACCUCGAACCGUCAUUUCAGUUUGGGAAAUUUUCUGCGCUCGUCCGACGCAAAAACAUAGGCCUAGAUUUUUUGGCGAAUAACUUUCGAUCCCGUUUACUUUUAGCCUCGUUUCUCUAAACGGCAUUCUUCGAGAGGAGUGGUCCCGGCUUAACUCCAAAGAAAUAACACUAAGAGUUUGUAGUCGGAAACAAAAACGGAAGUAGGGUAAAAAAGCUGUCUUCGGUAUUUUUUUGUCGUUCGAAUUUAGAAUAUUUUCAUCCUGAUUUUUUUCUUCAUCGGGUGGCAUUGUGACCCUGGCAACUCAAGCCAGCUUUUUUAAUCGGCUUCCGUUUGUGUUUCCGAUUGCGAGUGUUAUUUCUAUGGAAUAAGGCCGGGACCCCUAAUUCUCCCAAAGAGUGCCCUCUAAACGCGUGACAACCCCGUUUUGUCUUUUCGAGCAAUACUCAUUUCAACAUUACAGAUUGGUGUGGAAGGGCACUUUUCCUGAGAGGCAAAAAUAAAAUAUUGCUCGAUAUGAGUCAGGCGGAACUAUUUUCUUACGGAUAUUGAUGUAAAUGGAACAAGACCGGGAACGGUAGCUCGAUAACAAUCGAUGUCAUCUGUCCCAAGUCAUCCGUUAAAAAAAGCGUGUCUUUUCGUUGGACGGGCUACAGCACGGGCGAAAAUAGUUUUGGUGCGGACGGACAUCCCCGCACGGAACCUCAAUUUUUAAACCGACUGCGUCACUGUCGUUCUGUAGGUAUUAAUUUUAAAUAACGUUUCCAAGCCCUCUGACCUGGUAACCGUAACAGUUUUGGUCAGGUCCAUUUUUCCACUUCUCUUUCCCCCGAUCUCGGAAUCUUCGCGGAGAGGAGCAGCGCCAGCCGUUUGCCAGCGACGAGGAGACGGUGAAUUCUCACGCAUCCUCAAACCCGCACACACGCACGCACCAACACACACACACACACACACACACACACUCGCGCGCGCUUGGCAGUCCGACCCGAAAUAGGUAUAUUUCAUUAAAACAUUUCCAGUCGAAAGUCGGGCUUGAGUUGUUUUCUUAUUCGUACAAUCAGAUAAUAUAAGUGAGACAAAUUAUCGAUAAAAGACCAAUGCGACAGCCAUAUACAUAUAUUGUACGCACACAAACACACGCACAUGCAUGCAUGCGCGCACGCACGCACGCAUGCACACACGCUUGCACGCAUGCACGCACACACUCAGGAAAAAAAGACAGGACGAGAGAGGGGAGAGAGAGAAAGAGAGGGAGAAAAAGAGAGAGAGAGAGAGUCAGCAGCACUUCCCGGUGUGUCCCGUAGGUCUGCGCUCAUAGAAAAAGCUCACUUUGGGCGUAUAUUUUUCCAGUCUAGCGGAAAAUACAAAUCAUCGCCAAACCUUUCGUGAAAGAGAAAAAAAAUAUUUUGAAAAUAAGGGGCAAAGAUGUUGUCACCUCAUAACCCCUAAUCCCCCCUCUCUCCCCUCCAACCCACCCUCUUUCUCUCUCUCUCUCUCUCUCUCUCUCUCUCUCUCUCUCUCUCUCUCUCUCUUUCUCUGUAUUUUAUAAUUUAACUCGCUUGGUCUUUUACGUUCAGUCACGGCUUCCAUCGCCUUUCUUCGGUAGAUUGCACACCACCCC